CUACGGGCGGCUCCAGUGGGGAAUAUUGCACAAUGGGGGAAACCCUGAUGCAGCAACGCCGCGUGGAGGAUGACGCAUUUCGGUGUGUAAACUCCUUUUAUAUAGGAAGAUAAUGACGGUACUAUAUGAAUAAGCACCGGCUAACUCCGUGCCAGCAGGCCGCGGUAAUACGGAGGGUGCAAGCGUUACUCGGAAUCACUGGGCGUAAAGCGCGCGCAGGCGGCCUUUUAAGUUGGAUGUGAAAGCCUAUGGCUUAACCAUAGAACUGCAUCCAAAACUAUCAGGCUAGAGUCGGGGAGGGGAAGAUGGAAUUAGUUGUGUAGGGGUAAAAUCCGUAGAGAUAACUAGGAAUACCAAAAGCGAAGGCGAUCUUCUGGAACAGUACUGACGCUGAGGCGCGAAAGCGUGGGGAGCAAACAGGAUUAGAUACCCGGAUAGUC
This 440-nucleotide ribosomal RNA is filed under the name uncultured bacterium. Its description in RNAcentral is "partial 16S ribosomal RNA". It matches the Rfam family "Bacterial small subunit ribosomal RNA", at positions 339 to 795 of the family's 1533-position model. The record is from RNAcentral.